AUGUAUGACCCCGCACCGUAUACAGCUGCAAUGGGAGCUCUGCAAGACAAAUAUGGCCAGCCAAGACAACUGGUUCAAAGUGAACUAGCGGCAAUACUCAACUCCCCAGCCAUUAAGUCAGGAGACGCAGAGGCAUUCGACUCCUUCGCUCUCUCAGUCCAGUCGCUGGUCGGUAUGCUGCGCACUUUAGAGGGACCAGUUGGAUACGAGCUCAGGUGUGGUUCUCAUGUUGACCGUCUCUUAAGCAAAAUGUCUCCUUCCCACAGAGAUGGAUUUGUGGAAUAUUGUCUCAUUCACGGCAUCCUGCAGCCAGGUUCAGAGCUCACCUACUCCCUGCCCGACCUUGCUGCGUGGUUGCAGAUGAAGGCUCAAGCCAAGCGUCUUGCCAGUCGAGCUACUCUUCUCUACAAUUCUACAGGGCCUACCCUUCCAAAGAGAGAUCAACGUAGUUUAAAGCCCAAAGAUAAAAUAGCGUCAGUCUUCCUCUGCUCUGGUGAGACAGCCAACAAGGAGACCUUUCAUGCGAAGUCCCAAGCUUUCAAACUCAGUCCUUAUUGUCCGUUCUGCAACAAUAAGGAGCACUACCUUAACUCAUGCCCCGACUUUAAGAAAAUGUCUAAUGCUGAGAUUAAGAAGUGGAUCCAGGAAGGCGACAGAUGUUGGAAAUGCGGCCGCGGCCACAAAGCUACAGCCUGCACACUUAAACGCCCCUGUAAGAUUUGCAAAGAGAAACACCUUACAGUCCUCCAUGACGCCAUUCAAGAGUCAUCCCAGAAAGUGCUGAUGGUCAGUAAUCCGAAGCCCAUUGUCUACAUUGAGCAGCCCCGAAGCCCUCAGAGAGUGUUGCUGAAGGUUGUCAAAGUGCUCCUGCAUCAUGGAGAUCGCACUCUUGAGACAUUUGCAGUGCUCGAUGAUGGUUCGGAAAGAACGAUUAUCCUCCCACAAGCUGUAGAGCAACUACAACUCUCUCAGCAUCCAGAGACGCUUCAUCUGAGGACAGUCCAGCAAGAGGUGAAAGAACUGAAAGGUUCCUCAGUUAGCUUUCAUGUAUCCCCCAUCUUCAAGCCAAAAAAGAAGUUUUGGAUUCAACAUGCGUUCACUGCAAGCAGUCUGAGUUUAUCUGAACACACAUACCCAGUAGCAGCUCUCCAGAAGUGCUAUGAGCAUCUCAAAGGACUUCCUUUGACGCCUAUCCACAGAGCCCAACCUCUGCUCCUCAUCGGCUCUGAUAUGCCUCAGCUUCUUACUCCUACACAGCCAGUCAGAGCAGGUCCAUCUGGCGGUCCUAUAGCCAUCUGCACAAGGCUAGGCUGGUCCUUGCAAGGUCCUUCUGACAUCAUACCAGUCUCUUCUCACCAGUCUUCCUGUCUGCACAUCGCCACCGAGUCUUCAUAUACUGAACUCCUCAGGAAUGUGGAACGUCUUUGGCACAUUGACACAGUCCCCUACGUCAGUGAGAAGACUGCAACGCGUUCCAAGCAAGACCAACAGGCACUCAGACUCUUACAGACAGCCUCCGAACGUGUAUCUGUGGAUGGUACCCAGCGCUACGCUACUCCACUGUUGCGUCGUCAGCCAGUCAUCCGCCUUUGUGCACAGCAAAAUGCUGUGAUGCCUAACCUACGCAGCACUGAGCGCCGGUUGGCUAAGGACACCGUUCGAGCAGCCUCAUACUGCAAGGAGAUGGAUAAACUUAUUCAGUCUGGUUAUGUCGCGGAAAUCUUUACAGAAGAGGCAGCAAAGUCCACAGAGUCGUGGUAUGUACCUCAUCAUAUGGUGCACCACAAUGGAAAGGACAGAGUAGUAUUUAACUGUUCCUUCUCCUUUAACGGCCUGUCCCUGAAUGACCAACUCCUGCCGGGACCAACGCUCGGUCCGACCAUGAUUGGAGUCCUGAUGCGGUUUCGAUGUCAUGCUGUGGCCAUCAGCGGAGAUAUUAAGUCGAUGUUCCACCAGAUCCGCUUGUUGCCCAGUGAUAAACCACUCCUACGAUUCCUGUGGCGUGACAUGCAGAGGACAUCUGAACCACGCAUAUUCCAAUGGGAGGUGUUACCAUUCGGAACAACGUGCAGCCCCUGUUGUGCAGUCUUUGCCCUGCAGCAGCACGUCAGAGACCACGAACCACCAGACUCUCCUCUCAUGCAUGUGAUCGAGCACUCGUUCUAUGUCGACAAUUGCCUCCACAGUGUGAGUAAAGCUGAGGAUGCCAAGGUUCUAGUCGAUGAUCUGCGAGCACUUCUGAACAAGGGAGGUUUCGAGAUCCGGCAAUGGGCUAGUAACAUGCCUGAAGUUGUAGCACAUCUACCUCCUGAGGCGCAGUCGGCUAGCAGUGAGCUAUGGCUAUCCAAGGCCAGUGACAACCUCCAAGAGCCCACGCUUGGACUCUGCUGGGACUGUCUGAACGACACCCUGAGUUACAAACAUCGCCAUACUGAAUCUUUAGACGCUACUCUUCGUAACGUCUACAGUGUCCUUGCCAAGCUUUACGACCCAUUGGGCUACAUUGUGCCAUUUACAACAAGAUGUAAAGUGCUGGUUCAGGACAUGUGGAAGGCCAACAUUGGCUGGGAUGACAAGAUCCAACCUGCUGACCUUCUGGAGAAAUGGUUGAAUUGGGUGCAGGAAAUUCCCACUUUGCAACAUCUCAAGCUGCCUCGUCCCUAUGCACCAGCCACCGCCGAUAUUGCCAGCGCAACCCGUCACAUCCACAUUUUCUGUGAUGCCUCGGAGCGCGCCUAUGGGUCAGUAGCUUACAUGCAGACGACAGAUGACAGUCAACGAGUCUAUGUCUCCUUCGUGUUUGCCAGAUCGAGAGUCGCGCCCCGUAAGCAGAUGUCUAUUCCGCGUCUCGAGCUCAGUGCCGCGCUUACAGGUGCACAGCUGGCUAGAGUGAUCGAGACAGAGCUUGCAGUACCACCUGAGCACAUCACUCUUUGGUCAGACUCCACAACUGUACUGCAUUGGAUCAAAUCAGAAUCCUGCCGUUACAAAGUGUUCGUUGGAACACGAGUCGCAGAAAUCCAGAACCUGACCAAUCCUGUUCAAUGGCGGUAUGUUGAUACUCUAAGCAAUCCAGCUGAUGAUAUAACCCGCGGACUCACACAAGAAAUGGUACAGGAUCAUCGCUGGAACAAAGGUCCACAUUUCCUCCAUUUGUCUGAGAGGGAGUGGCCCAGCAUGCCUUCAUCUGAGGUAGAACCAGACACCACAGAGUUAAGGAAGUCUGCCUUCAUGGGAACUAUGUCCAGCAUCUUGCCAACACAACUUCCGGACCCCAGUAAGUUCUCCAACUGGAAAGAGCUUCUUAAGGAAACUGCUAGCUCCAUUCACGGGCCUCUGAUGCUAAUACUACAGUACACUUUCCCGCUGCCGAAUUUCUGCAAGCAGAGAAACUGA
Molecule: long non-coding RNA, 3396 nt
Organism: Cyprinus carpio (common carp)
Lineage: Eukaryota; Metazoa; Chordata; Actinopteri; Cypriniformes; Cyprinidae
Source: Ensembl